AAUACUGACCCAGCCAAGCCCAGGAACUAGCUGCAACUCUCAGUGAAGUGAACAGGAGCUGUGUGGCUAAGUUGUGGGAUGUUCGAAAGUGGAGGAGAGGAUGUUCUAAGGACACACUUCCAAAUGAAAUUCACCCCUGUGCAGAAGAUGGCAAGACUCAGGCAUAGGAAGAUUCAGUGUCACACAAGAAAGAGAAGUCCCAUAGGUAUCAGAGCUUCCGCCUCAAAACAGGGUGUGAGGAGGAAAUAAGUGAACCGACUCAAUGCAGUAUUAAACGAUGUCUAAAGCAGCAUUGCUACAAUAACAGCCUUAUAUAAGCAGCUAAGUGAAAUGGAUUAUGCAUCUCUGAUUGUAAGAUAUACAUGCAGGCAGGGGAAGAGCUGUGGCUAGUGUGGGACCUGUGACAAAGUUCCUCCUCUACCUUGGACCUUGCCAAUGAGAGGAAAUGGGGGAAAGGCGUUGAGGAGUUGACCCAACCAUGACAGAAGGAAGGCAUCUGAGAUCGCAUUCCUCCCCACCCCAACCGCCGGAACAGAACCUGUGGCAAUGGCGGUUCUGUCGGGUCACAAACAGGUCUACUUGGGGAGUGCCCCAUGCUCGGAAGAGCUGGUCCUUGCCGUCAAAGGGGAGAUCCUGCAUCACAGAUUGCGCCUCCGCAGAGAGCCCAGACAGCGGUAGCCACAAUGCCCUGCACACAGACACGGCCGAAGCCAUGGACCGGCAUCCGACGCCUCCUGCAGAGCAGCCUUUGCAGUGGUGCCCUCCUCCACCAGCACCUUAAAAUCCUUCCGUUCGCAUUCCGGGGGGGGAGGGCUCGAAUUUUCGGCAGUGACCCCCACAAGUUAAACUCGUAAUGACUAAGGAGGGCCUGGUGGAUGGCCACCCGGAGCUGGAAGGUGGCGGACAAAUAAAGCUUCCUG
This is a long non-coding RNA of Mauremys reevesii (Reeves's turtle), 920 nucleotides long. RefSeq lists it as uncharacterized. The transcript has 5 exons. The record is from RefSeq and is a predicted model, not a curated record. Lineage: Eukaryota; Metazoa; Chordata; Testudines; Geoemydidae.